This 455-nucleotide ribosomal RNA is filed under the name Streptococcus mitis. Its description in RNAcentral is "bacterial SSU rRNA". It matches the Rfam family "Bacterial small subunit ribosomal RNA", at positions 28 to 469 of the family's 1533-position model. The record is from RNAcentral. Lineage: Bacteria; Bacillati; Bacillota; Bacilli; Lactobacillales; Streptococcaceae.
GACGAACGCUGGCGGCGUGCCUAAUACAUGCAAGUAGAACGCUGAAGGAGGAGCUUGCUUCUCUGGAUGAGUUGCGAACGGGUGAGUAACGCGUAGGUAACCUGCCUGGUAGCGGGGGAUAACUAUUGGAAACGAUAGCUAAUACCGCAUAAGAGUAGAUGUUGCAUGACAUUUGCUUAAAAGGUGCAAAUGCAUCACUACCAGAUGGACCUGCGUUGUAUUAGCUAGUUGGUGAGGUAACGGCUCACCAAGGCAACGAUACAUAGCCGACCUGAGAGGGUGAUCGGCCACACUGGGACUGAGACACGGCCCAGACUCCUACGGGAGGCAGCAGUAGGGAAUCUUCGGCAAUGGACGGAAGUCUGACCGAGCAACGCCGCGUGAGUGAAGAAGGUUUUCGGAUCGUAAAGCUCUGUUGUAAGAGAAGAACGAGUGUGAGAGUGGAAAGUUCACAC